GUAGGUGGCAAGCGUUGUCCGGAAUUAUUGGGCGUAAAGCGCGCGCAGGCGGUUCUUUAAGUCUGAUGUGAAAGCCCACGGCUCAACCGUGGAGGGUCAUUGGAAACUGGAGAACUUGAGUACAGAAGAGGAAAGCGGAAUUCCACGUGUAGCGGUGAAAUGCGUAGAGAUGUGGAGGAACACCAGUGGCGAAGGCGGCUUUCUGGUCUGUAACUGACGCUGAAGCGCGAAAGCGUGGGGGAGCAAACAGGAUUAGAUACCCUGGUAGUCCACGCCGUAAACGAUGAGUGCUAAGUGUUAGGGGGUUUCCGCCCCUUAGUGCUGCAGCUAACGCAUUAAGCACUCCGCCUGGGAGUACGGCCGCAAGGCUG
Molecule: ribosomal RNA, 371 nt
Filed under: uncultured organism
Description: partial 16S ribosomal RNA
Rfam family: Bacterial small subunit ribosomal RNA
Source: RNAcentral